GUUAUUUAGGUUAGAGUUUGAUCAUGGCUCAGAGUGAACGCUGGCGGCAGGCCUAACACAUGCAAGUCGAACGGCAGCACAGCAGUAGCAAUACUGUGGGUGGCGAGUGGCGGACGGGUGAGGAAUACAUGGGAAUCUACCCUGUCGUGGGGGAUAACGUAGGGAAACUUACGCUAAUACCGCAUACGACCGAGAGGUGAAAGCGGCGGACCGCAAGGCGUCGCGCGAUUGGAUGAGCCCAUGUCGGAUUAGAUAGUUGGCGGGGUAAAGGCCCACCAAGGCGACGAUCCGUAGCUGGUCUGAGAGGAUGAUCAGCCACACUGGAACUGAGACACGGUCCAGACUCCUACGGGAGGCAGCAGUGGGGAAUAUUGGACAAUGGGCGCAAGCCUGAUCCAGCCAUGCCGCGUGGGUGAAGAAGGCCUUCGGGUUGUAAAGCCCUUUUGUCCGGAAAGAAAAGCUUCGGGUUAAUACCCCGGGGUUCUGACGGUACCGGAAGAAUAAGCACCGGCUAACUUCGUGCCAGCAGCCGCGGUAAUCGCC
Molecule: ribosomal RNA, 543 nt
Filed under: uncultured bacterium
Lineage: Bacteria
Description: bacterial SSU rRNA
Rfam family: Bacterial small subunit ribosomal RNA
Source: RNAcentral